CCAGUAGGUGGAGCUGGAGCUCAGGAAAUACUCUGCAGCUCCACUCAUCAGCACGAUGGGAUGUGAUGUGGCUGGGGGAGGAUGUACAGUCCACAGUAAACGCAGCCACGAGGACAACAUGUCAGCUUUAUUCUUUUUAUCUUGGCUCAUUGGAGUUUGUCUGGGUGUUGAAGUUUACCAAACUCCUCCAGAACUUCUCCGAAGACCCGGAGAGAAAGUCCAGCUGGUCUGCAGCCAUGAAAAGACCGACUACACGCUCAUGCAGUGGUACCAAAGAUCCCCUGGAGAGCGAGUUCUGAAACGCAUCGGACACGUGAACUACAACAACAAACAAUAUGAGGACAAUUUCAAAGAACAUUUUAAUAUCACUGGAGAUCUGAGCGGAGCGACGGCAAAGAAUGUCUCUCUGUUUGUAGACGACCUGAAGGCCCCCGAGCACAGCGCCGUGUAUUACUGUGCAGCCAGCGUUGCACACUGACUGCACACCCCCUCGGCCUCAUACAAAAACUCUGAAACAACUUAAGGGGGGGGUUUCUUGUCUUCAAAGAUUCUCAGUUGAUUCACAACUUCCAAAAAUGUAUUUAAGUCAAAGUUGUGUCAAGCGUUCGAGUGAUUUACAGAGAUUUUGUUUAUUUAUUUAUUUAUUUUUGAGUUUAAAAACUUUGUGAGAAAUAAAAAAAGGCAGCUCGCGUAAGCCGACCAAUUUUAUUUAUGCAACAGGAAGCAUUUAUAUUGUUUUG
Cottoperca gobio is the source of this 740-nucleotide non-coding RNA. NCBI's taxonomy places the organism in Eukaryota, Metazoa, Chordata, Actinopteri, Perciformes, Bovichtidae. The record is from the annotation of a RefSeq genome assembly.